This 375-nucleotide ribosomal RNA is filed under the name uncultured organism. RNAcentral's name for it is "partial 16S ribosomal RNA". It matches the Rfam family "Bacterial small subunit ribosomal RNA", at positions 527 to 896 of the family's 1533-position model. The record is from RNAcentral.
GUAGGUGGCAAGCGUUGUCCGGAAUUAUUGGGCGUAAAGCGCGCGCAGGCGGUCCUUUAAGUCUGAUGUGAAAGCCCACGGCUCAACCGUGGAGGGUCAUUGGAAACUGGGGGACUUGAGUACAGAAGAGGAAAGCGGAAUUCCAAGUGUAGCGGUGAAAUGCGUAGAGAUUUGGAGGAACACCAGUGGCGAAGGCGGCUUUCUGGUCUGUAACUGACGCUGAGGCGCGAAAGCGUGGGGAGCAAACAGGGAUUAGAUACCCUGGUAGUCCACGCCGUAAACGAUGAGUGCUAAGUGUUAGGGGGGUUUCCCGCCCCUUAGUGCUGCAGCUAACGCAUUAAGCACUCCGCCUGGGGGAUACGGCCCGCAAGGCUG